This 74-nucleotide transfer RNA is filed under the name Flavobacteriales bacterium. Its description in RNAcentral is "tRNA-Met". It matches the Rfam family "tRNA". Rfam says of the family: Transfer RNA (tRNA) molecules are approximately 80 nucleotides in length. Their secondary structure includes four short double-helical elements and three loops (D, anti-codon, and T loops). Further hydrogen bonds mediate the characteristic L-shaped molecular structure. tRNAs have two regions of fundamental functional importance: the anti-codon, which is responsible for specific mRNA codon recognition, and the 3' end, to which the tRNAs corresponding amino acid is attached (by aminoacyl-tRNA synthetases). tRNAs cope with the degeneracy of the genetic code in two manners: having more than one tRNA (with a specific anti-codon) for a particular amino acid; and 'wobble' base-pairing, i.e. permitting non-standard base-pairing at the 3rd anti-codon position. Lineage: Bacteria; Pseudomonadati; Bacteroidota; Flavobacteriia; Flavobacteriales. The record is from RNAcentral.
GGCGAGGUAGCUCAGCUGGUUAGAGCACUGGAUUCAUAACCCAGAGGUCGAGGGUUCGAGUCCCUCUCUCGCUA